GGGGUUCUAGCUCAUCGGUAGAGCGCUCGCUUAGCAUCUGGCUCAGCAUCAACUGCGAGAGGUACAGGAUUCGACUCCCUGGUACUCCA
RNAcentral lists this transfer RNA (89 nucleotides) under Puccinia triticina 1-1 BBBD Race 1. RNAcentral's name for it is "Puccinia triticina tRNA PTTG_20033". It matches the Rfam family "tRNA". From Rfam's summary of the family: Transfer RNA (tRNA) molecules are approximately 80 nucleotides in length. Their secondary structure includes four short double-helical elements and three loops (D, anti-codon, and T loops). Further hydrogen bonds mediate the characteristic L-shaped molecular structure. tRNAs have two regions of fundamental functional importance: the anti-codon, which is responsible for specific mRNA codon recognition, and the 3' end, to which the tRNAs corresponding amino acid is attached (by aminoacyl-tRNA synthetases). tRNAs cope with the degeneracy of the genetic code in two manners: having more than one tRNA (with a specific anti-codon) for a particular amino acid; and 'wobble' base-pairing, i.e. permitting non-standard base-pairing at the 3rd anti-codon position. The record is from RNAcentral. Lineage: Eukaryota; Fungi; Basidiomycota; Pucciniomycetes; Pucciniales; Pucciniaceae.